CGGGGUGAGUAAUGUCUGGGAAACUGCCUGAUGGAGGGGGAUAGCUACUGGAAACGGUAGCUAAUACCGCAUAACGUCGCAAGACCAAAGAGGGGGACCUUCGGGCCUCUUGCCAUCGGAUGUGCCCAGAUGGGAUUAGCUAGUAGGUGGGGUAACGGCUCACCUAGGCGACGAUCCCUAGCUGGUCUGAGAGGAUGACCAGCCACACUGGAACUGAGACACGGUCCAG
This 229-nucleotide ribosomal RNA is filed under the name uncultured bacterium. RNAcentral describes it as "partial 16S ribosomal RNA". It matches the Rfam family "Bacterial small subunit ribosomal RNA", at positions 104 to 334 of the family's 1533-position model. The record is from RNAcentral.